GACGAACGCUGGCGGCGUGCCUAAUACAUGCAAGUAGAACGCUGAAGGAGGAGCUUGCUUCUCUGGAUGAGUUGCGAACGGGUGAGUAACGCGUAGGUAACCUGCCUGGUAGCGGGGGAUAACUAUUGGAAACGAUAGCUAAUACCGCAUAAGAUUGACUAUUGCAUGAUAGUCAGUUAAAAGGUGCAAUUGCAUCACUACCAGAUGGACCUGCGUUGUAUUAGCUAGUUGGUGGGGUAACGGCUCACCAAGGCGACGAUACAUAGCCGACCUGAGAGGGUGAUCGGCCACACUGGGACUGAGACACGGCCCAGACUCCUACGGGAGGCAGCAGUAGGGAAUCUUCGGCGAUGGACGGAAGUCUGACCGAGCAACGCCGCGUGAGUGAAGAAGGUUUUCGGAUCGUAAAGCUCUGUUGUAAGAGAAGAACGAGUGUGAGAGUGGAAAGUUCACACUGUGACGGUAUCUUACCAGAAAGGGACGGCUAACUACGUG
RNAcentral lists this ribosomal RNA (495 nucleotides) under uncultured bacterium. RNAcentral describes it as "partial 16S ribosomal RNA". It matches the Rfam family "Bacterial small subunit ribosomal RNA", at positions 28 to 507 of the family's 1533-position model. The record is from RNAcentral.